Molecule: transfer RNA, 71 nt
Filed under: Rattus norvegicus (Norway rat)
Lineage: Eukaryota; Metazoa; Chordata; Mammalia; Rodentia; Muridae
Rfam family: tRNA
About the family: Transfer RNA (tRNA) molecules are approximately 80 nucleotides in length. Their secondary structure includes four short double-helical elements and three loops (D, anti-codon, and T loops). Further hydrogen bonds mediate the characteristic L-shaped molecular structure. tRNAs have two regions of fundamental functional importance: the anti-codon, which is responsible for specific mRNA codon recognition, and the 3' end, to which the tRNAs corresponding amino acid is attached (by aminoacyl-tRNA synthetases). tRNAs cope with the degeneracy of the genetic code in two manners: having more than one tRNA (with a specific anti-codon) for a particular amino acid; and 'wobble' base-pairing, i.e. permitting non-standard base-pairing at the 3rd anti-codon position.
Source: Rfam by way of RNAcentral
GGGCAUUUAGCUCAGUGGUAGAGCACUUGCCUAGCAAGCGCAAGGCCCUGGGUUCGAUUCCCCAGCUCCCA